CCUACGGUGUGCAGCAGUGGGGAAUAUUGGACAAUGGGCGAAAGCCUGAUCCAGCCAUGCCGCGUGUGUGAAGAAGGCCUUCGGGUUGUAAAGCACUUUCAGUGGGGAAGAAAGCCUUGGGGCUAAUACCCUCGAGGAAGGACAUCACCCACAGAAGAAGCACCGGCUAACUCCGUGCCAGCAGCCGCGGUAAUACGGAGGGUGCGAGCGUUAAUCGGAAUUACUGGGCGUAAAGCGCGCGUAGGCGGUCUGAUAAGCCGGUUGUGAAAGCCCCGGGCUCAACCUGGGAACGGCAUCCGGAACUGUCAGGCUAGAGUGCAGGAGAGGAAGGGAGAAUUCCCGGUGUAGCGGUGAAAUGCGUAGAGAUCGGGAGGAAUACCAGUGGCGAAGGCGGCCUUCUGGACUGACACUGACGCUGAGGUGCGAAAGCGUGGGUAGCAAACAGGAUUAGAUACCCCUGUAGUC
This 465-nucleotide ribosomal RNA is filed under the name Vreelandella stevensii. RNAcentral describes it as "partial 16S ribosomal RNA". It matches the Rfam family "Bacterial small subunit ribosomal RNA", at positions 338 to 795 of the family's 1533-position model. The record is from RNAcentral. Lineage: Bacteria; Pseudomonadati; Pseudomonadota; Gammaproteobacteria; Oceanospirillales; Halomonadaceae.